CCUACGGGUGGCUGCAGUGGGGAAUUUUGCGCAAUGCUCGUAAGAGUGACGCAGCGACGCCGCGUGAAUGACGAAGGCCUUCGGGUCGUACAGUUCUUUCGACAGGGAAGAAAAUGCAUAUAAGUAACUGUGUAUUUAUUGACGGUACCUGUAUAAGCAGCCCCGGCUAACGCCGUGCCAGCUGCCGCGGGAAUACGGAGGGGGCGAGCGUUGUUCGGAGUGACUGGGCGUAAAGAGCACGGAGGCGGUGUGGUAAGGCAGUAGUCAAAGACUAGAGCUCAACUUUAGUAAGGCUAGUGAUACUAUAAUACUAGAGUAUCAGAGAGGAUGGCAGAAUUCCUGGUGUAGCGGUGAAAUGCGUAGAUAUCUGGAGGAAUACCGUGGGCGAAGGCAGCAAUCUGGCUGGAAACUGACGCUGAGGUGCGAAAGCGUGGGUAGCAAACAGGAUUAGAUACCCCUGUAGUC
RNAcentral lists this ribosomal RNA (465 nucleotides) under uncultured bacterium. RNAcentral's name for it is "partial 16S ribosomal RNA". It matches the Rfam family "Bacterial small subunit ribosomal RNA", at positions 338 to 795 of the family's 1533-position model. The record is from RNAcentral.